GAAACCCCGUACUUUCUGAAGGGACCCAAGAUGGCUGAACGCACACAGGGGGGGUAGUUGGCAAUCAUCUAUGCAAUAUGAUGGAAAUUAAUGUUAAAUAACGUUAGUAUGUGAAACAUAAUAUUGAUGGAGUUAUACGAUUACAGCUGGUUGAUCUGCCUAAUUUUGGAGUGCAAGAAUACCUCGUAAGGAGAGAGACUGGUCUCUCGGCGGCCCAGAGCCAGAACAUGGCGGAACACUUUGGAAAGAAAUAGCUAGCAGCUAACGGUAUUAUCAAGAGACACCUAGCUAGCUGAUCCGAAACGUCGGGGGCUACAUUGGACAACACUGGUUGUAAACGGGCAAUAAUAUAACGGGUGCAUAGUAUUUGUCGCUAUUUAACAAUUUACUGUUUUCAUAAGAUGUUUAAUGUAGCAAGGCAGUUAGCUAACUUGCUAGGCAGCUAGCUAGCCCACUACGGUCGUUACAGUAGCUAGCAUACAACAAUCAUCUCACUGUAGCUGAAGUCUGAGGAUAUAGCCAGGUGAUCUUACCUGCAUGUUUACCAUUGAAACAUACUCGUUAUACUUAUUCGUUAGUCUGAUUGUACUGUUUCUGUAUGUAUGUUAAACAGCGCGAGUUUAUCAUGCGUCGUGCAUUUCUAGUCUGCGCAAGACAUGUUUUGCGGAAGCCAGCUAAGGUUAGUUAUCUGUAGGAAGUUACAAUUAGCAAACAGCCAAACCUAAGUAAUCUAGCUACUGUUUGAAAGCCAAAGUGGAUCUAGUUAUCCUCAUACAAGGCAGUCGGUAGAUUUGUGGCGCAAGGUAAAUACAUCGGCGGGGGAAAGCGGUCACGACCACCUGCCAAGAUGACGGAUACCCGCCGCCGAGUCAAAGUUUAUACUCUCAACGAGGACAGACAAUGGGAUGACCGCGGUACGGGACACGUCUCCUCCGGUUAUGUGGAGAGGCUGAAAGGCAUGUCUCUGCUGGUGCGAGCGGAGAGCGAUGGUGAGUCAGGUUCCCUACUGCUCGAGUCGAAAAUCAACCCAAACACAGCCUACCAGAAACAACAGGACACGUUGAUAGUGUGGUCGGAGGCUGAGAACUAUGACCUGGCCCUCAGCUUCCAGGAGAAGGCCGGCUGCGAUGAGAUCUGGGAGAAAAUCUGUCAGGUCCAGGGCAAGGACCCGUCUGUGGACAUCACACAAGAGCUGGUGGACGAGUCGGAGGAGGAGCGCUUUGACGACAUGUCCUCCCCAGGCCUCGAACUCCCUCCCUGCGAGCUGGGCCACCUUGAGGAGCUCGCCGAGCUCGUGGCCUCCUCCCUCCCCUCCCCCUUACGCCGUGAGAAACUAGCCCUGGCCGUGGAGAACGAGGGCUACAUCCGCAAGCUCCUGGAGCUCUUCCGCCAGUGCGAGGACUUGGAAAACGCAGACGGCCUCCACCACCUAUACGAGAUCGUAAAGGGCAUCUUCCUGCUAAACCGCACGGCCCUCUUCGAGGUCAUGUUCUCUGAGGAGUGCAUCAUGGAUGUGAUUGGCUGCCUGGAGCAUGACCCUGCGCUGGGCGGGUUGCCGCGGCGCCACCGCGACUUCCUCACCAAGACGGCACGCUUCAAGGAGGUCAUCCCUAUUGGUGACCCUGAGCUGCGGGCCAAGAUCCACCAGACGUACCGCGUGCAGUACAUCCAGGACAUGGUGCUACCCACUCCGUCGGUGUUCGAGGAGAACAUGCUCUCCACAUUGCACUCGUUCAUCUUCUUCAACAAGGUGGAGAUUGUGGGUAUGCUGCAGGACGACGAGAAGUUCCUGACAGACCUCUUUGCACAGCUCACAGAUGAGGCUACCGAUGAUGACAAGAGACACGAACUGGUAAACUUCCUAAAGGAGUUCUGCGCCUUCUCACAAACAUUACAACCUCAAAACAGAGACACCUUCUUCAAGACUCUGUCAAACAUGGGAAUUCUCCCUGCACUAGAGGUUAUACUGGGUAUGGAUGAUGUGCAGGUGCGUGGCGCAGCCACCGAUAUCUUCUCCUAUCUGGUGGAGUACAACCCCUCUAUGGUACGAGAGUUUAUCAUGCAGGAGUCCCAACAGAAUGACGACGACAUCCUGCUGAUCAACCUGAUCAUCGAGCACAUGAUCUGUGACUCGGACCCGGAGCUGGGCGGCGCUGUGCAGCUGAUGGGUCUGCUACGCACCCUGGUGGAUCCUGAAAACAUGAUGGCCACCGCCAACAAAACGGAGAAGACAGAGUUCCUGAGCUUCUUCUACAAGCACUGCAUGCACGUCCUCUCUGCUCCUCUACUGGCCAACACCACGGAUGACAAACCCAGUAGAGAUGACUUCCAGACGUCUCAGCUGCUGGCGCUGAUCCUGGAGCUGUUGACGUUCUGCGUAGAGCACCACACCUACCACAUCAAGAACUACAUCAUCAACAAGGACAUCCUCCGUAGGGUCCUGGUGCUCACUGCCUCACAGCACGCCUUCCUGGCCCUCUGCGCACUGCGCUUCAUGCGGCGGAUCAUCGGGCUGAAGGACGAGUUCUACAACCGCUACAUCAUGAAGAAUUUCCUGUUUGAGCCGGUGGUCAAGGCCUUCCUCAACAACGGCGCCCGCUACAACCUCAUGAAUUCAGCCAUCAUCGAGAUGUUUGAAUAUGUCCGCGUGGAGGAUGUGAAGUCCCUGACGGCCCACAUAGUGGAGAACUACUGGAAGGCCCUGGAGGAUGUGGACUAUGUGCAGACCUUUAAAGGACUGAAGCUGCGCUAUGAACAGCAGAGGGAGAGGCAGGACAACCCCAAACUGGACAGCAUGCGGUCGAUCCUGAGGAACCACCGGUUCCGGCGUGAUGCGAGAACGCUGGACGAUGAUGAGGAGAUGUGGUUCAAUGCGGACGAGGAAGAGCUUGAGGACUGCGAGGCAGUGGUGCCCCCCUCGGACAACAAGACCACCAAAGCGAGCGGUGGCGUCGGCGAGAACGAAGACCUCAUGGACCCCAUCAGCAAGUUCAUGGAAAGGAAGAAACUGAAAGACUCCGAUGACAAGGAAGUCCUGGGCAAGUCCAGUAGUCUGUCAGGCCGCCAGAGCCCCAGCUUCAAACUCUCCUUCUCCGGCUCCACCACCAAGACCAGCCUGUCCAGCCCGCCCGCAUCGCUGCGCCCCGGCUCGCCUGGGUCAGGGGCCAAGGGCUCACCCCCGACAGCAGCCACAGUCACCACAAAGGACAGACUGCAAUCCACACUUUGGUAAGGUCCCUCAGUCGAGCAGUGAAUUUCAAACACCGAUUCAACCACAAAGAUCAGGUGGGGCUGGUGGACUACCCCGAUGACGACGAAGAAGACGAAGAGGAUGUGGGUGGCGAGAGUAAAGAAGAGACUCCGCCCUUGUCCAAGAAGUCCAAGCUUAGCUCCUCAUAAAAAUAAAUUGUUAAUGACUACUUUCCACCGAUCCCACGAUAGACUCAACACAGGAUGGAACAAAAACUGCUCAAACUGUUAAAACAAAUAAAUGAACCCCCCUUGGUUUUCAAGGAGCAGACUAUGAAUGGAAACGCGUCUCCUCGAACUAAUCCUAAUACACAAGUGCCAAUCGGGAGGCCGCAGAGCUAGGAACGAACGAACGAAUGAACGGAAAAGAGAAAGGCGGAGAGAGAAGACUAUUACCAAUAAUGGCGUCAGGUAAAAGGGGCAGACUGACGAUUUGUAAUCUAACAAAGCUAAAAUACAGCGGGAAAUGACCACAUAAAUACACGCAUUCAUCCACACACACACACACACACAGACUUAAACCCCAAAGAGCUUGCGUGCUCGGACCAUGCCCCACCCCAAACACCCCACUCAGGGAAGGACAUCACAGCGACCCCCCCCCAAUGGGGCCGACCAAUCAAGAUGCAGAACCACUCACCCACUGCGCUGACUUCUCCACCCGCUUCUGUUAAUUUCUCUCUUCUCCCUCCUCUACUCCCCCCCCCUUCUCAUUUUUUUGUUUGUUUUUACGUUUUUUUUUAAAAGAUGUUAGUUUCUAGGACCAGACGGGAGACUGCAGACCGACGGGGCGAAAUCGCUGUCAUUGUUUUUCAUUUUGAUGAUGUCAUCAGUGCUGUCGUCGUCGCUCAGCGGAAGUUCUUCCUCUCAAUAGAAAAAAGCCAGCUGUAAAAAUGUUUUUCCUUUUAAUCACUCUCUCGCUCUUCUGUUUUUGUAAAUGACAACAAAGAGACCUGCCUUUACAUGUUCAGGAACUUUUCAGUCUCACUUGAACAGGUUUUUAAAGACCCCAGUAGGUUGAGCUAGUUUUACCCUUUUUUGCCCUUUGAAACUGCAGAUCUUUUGGGAAAAUAAUUUGUAAUCCUGUCUUAUUAAAGAUUGAGUGGAAUUCUAGAUGUGAACAAUUUUUUCUUAUCUUCACAUUUUUUUUGGUUUUCUUUUACAUUGUUGUUCAGAAAUAUUUGGACCAUUAAAAAUGAUCUUUGCUGUA
Molecule: RNA transcript, 4456 nt
Organism: Salmo salar (Atlantic salmon)
Lineage: Eukaryota; Metazoa; Chordata; Actinopteri; Salmoniformes; Salmonidae
Gene name: serine/threonine-protein phosphatase 4 regulatory subunit 3
Source: RefSeq, a predicted model, not a curated record